GAUCAUGGCUCAGGAUGAACGCUAGCGGCAGGCUUAACACAUGCAAGUCGAGGGGCAGCGAGAUCAAAGCUUGCUUUGGUUGUCGGCGACCGGCGCACGGGUGCGUAACGCGUAUGCAACCUACCCACUACAGGGGGAUAACACUGAGAAAUCGGUACUAAUACCCCAUAAUAUCUUGGAGGGCAUCUUCCGAGGUUGAAAACUCCGGUGGUAGUGGAUGGGCAUGCGUUGUAUUAG
RNAcentral lists this ribosomal RNA (237 nucleotides) under uncultured bacterium. Its description in RNAcentral is "partial 16S ribosomal RNA". It matches the Rfam family "Bacterial small subunit ribosomal RNA", at positions 15 to 244 of the family's 1533-position model. The record is from RNAcentral.